GUUCCUUGGAAAAGGACAGCUGAGAGGGUGAGACUCCCGUCCGCCUGGUGGAGUGAGUCGUUGUCAACGAGUCGAGUUGUUUGGGAUUGCAGCUCUAAUUUGGUGGUAAAUUCCAUCUAAAGCUAAAUAUUGGUGGGAGACCGAUAGCGUACAAGUACCGUGAGGGAAAGAUGCAAAGAACUUUGAAAAGAGAGUUAAAGAGUACCUGAAAUUGCUGAAACGGAAGCGAAGGAAACCAGUGUUUGUUGGUUCAUAUUUCCCUGGCCACUUGUGGUUUGGGCGCUGUGAGCUUGCGUGGGUUUGCUUUGGUUGAUCCCUUUGGAAGAGCGCAGUCAGAGUUGAUGUCU
Molecule: ribosomal RNA, 347 nt
Filed under: Pseudo-nitzschia delicatissima
Lineage: Eukaryota; Bacillariophyta; Bacillariophyceae; Bacillariales; Bacillariaceae
Also listed under: 1 other name
Description: LSU rRNA
Rfam family: Eukaryotic large subunit ribosomal RNA
Source: RNAcentral